CAAUAGCGUAUAUUAAAGUUGUUGCGGUUAAAAAGCUCGUAGUUGGGUUUCUGUCGGUGAGCGAAGGUCCGCCCUAGUGGUUGGUACACUUCGCGCCGCCGACAUCUUCCUGGGGAAUGUGUCUGCACUUCACUGUGUGGCGCGGGAACCAGGACGUUUACUUUGAGGAAAUUACAGUGCUUCAAGCAGGCUCACGCUCUCUGAAUACGUUAGCAUGGAAUAAUAGCAUCGGACCUCGAUCCAAAGCUGUUGGUUUCUUGGAUCUGGGUAAAGGUGAAUAGGGAUUGUUGGGGGCAUUCGUAUUUAACUGUCAGAGGUGAAAUUCUUGGAUUCGCUGAAGACUAACUUAUGCGAAAGCAUUCACCAAGGAUGUCUUCUUUAAUCAAGAACGAAAGUUGGGGGAUCGAAGACGAUUAGAUACCGU
Molecule: ribosomal RNA, 424 nt
Filed under: uncultured eukaryote
Lineage: Eukaryota
Description: bacterial SSU rRNA
Rfam family: Eukaryotic small subunit ribosomal RNA
Source: RNAcentral